Long non-coding RNA from Vidua chalybeata, 218 nucleotides. RefSeq lists it as uncharacterized. The transcript is spliced from 2 exons. The record is from RefSeq and is a predicted model, not a curated record. Lineage: Eukaryota; Metazoa; Chordata; Aves; Passeriformes; Viduidae.
CAGAAAUGUAGAUAGACGUAAGUGGCCUGAACUUAUCCAGAUGAUGGCUUCAGAAGGAGCUGCAGGACUCUUGACAUGUACAAAAGAGGAAAAGCUUUCUGGGAAAAAGGAAGUAUGGAAUGCUACUGUAUAUAGAGACAGAGAAAUGGGCUGAGCACAGGACUUCACUAUCCAUCAUGCCUUUAGCACACUGCAAUAAAACCAUGAUAAUACAACAA